This 860-nucleotide ribosomal RNA is filed under the name Levilactobacillus zymae. RNAcentral's name for it is "bacterial SSU rRNA". It matches the Rfam family "Bacterial small subunit ribosomal RNA", at positions 56 to 889 of the family's 1533-position model. Lineage: Bacteria; Bacillati; Bacillota; Bacilli; Lactobacillales; Lactobacillaceae. The record is from RNAcentral.
UGCAGUCGAACGAGUUCCCGUUGAUUGACGUGCUUGCACUGAUUUCAACAUUGGAACGAGUGGCGAACUGGUGAGUAACACGUGGAAAACCUGCCCAGAAGCAGGGGAUAACACUUGGAAACAGGUGCUAAUACCGUAUAACAACAAAAACCGCAUGGUUUUUGUUUGAAAGGUGGCUUCGGCUAUCACUUCUGGAUGGUUCCGCGGCGCAUUAGCUAGUUGGUGAGGUAAAGGCCCACCAAGGCGAUGAUGCGUAGCCGACCUGAGAGGGUAAUCGGCCACAUUGGGACUGAGACACGGCCCAGACUCCUACGGGAGGCAGCAGUAGGGAAUCUUCCACAAUGGACGAAAGUCUGAUGGAGCAAUGCCGCGUGAGUGAAGAAGGGUUUCGGCUCGUAAAACUCUGUUGUUGAAGAAGAACGGGUGUCAGAGUAACUGUUGACAUCGUGACGGUAUUCAACCAGAAAGCCACGGCUAACUACGUGCCAGCAGCCGCGGUAAUACGUAGGUGGCAAGCGUUGUCCGGAUUUAUUGGGCGUAAAGCGAGCGCAGGCGGUUACUUAAGUCUGAUGUGAAAGCCUUCGGCUUAACCGAAGAAGUGCAUCGGAAACUGGGUAACUUGAGUGCAGAAGAGGACAGUGGAACUCCAUGUGUAGCGGUGGAAUGCGUAGAUAUAUGGAAGAACACCAGUGGCGAAAGCGGCUGUCUAGUCUGUAACUGACGCUGAGGCUCGAAAGCAUGGGUAGCGAACAGGAUUAGAUACCCUGGGUAGUCCAUGCCGUAACGAUGAGUGCUAGUGUUGGAGGGUUUCGCCCUCAGUGCUGCAGCUACGCAUAGCACUCGGCUGAGAGUACGACCGC